Long non-coding RNA from Vigna unguiculata (cowpea), 366 nucleotides. RefSeq lists it as uncharacterized. The record is from RefSeq and is a predicted model, not a curated record. NCBI's taxonomy places the organism in Eukaryota, Viridiplantae, Streptophyta, Magnoliopsida, Fabales, Fabaceae.
CACAGUCGUUUUCCCUAACUGGUACACUAGAGCUCUGCUAGGGUUUGUCCUUGUCUCGAACCAGUCCGUCCCAAGAGCUCAACUAGUGAUUUCUACUCCACUUUUGCAAGUCCGUCUUUCAAGUUGCUGUGCUCCGAGGUCCCGUGUCGAAGUUCUGUUAACCCUUUUCCAGAUGGGCGAGGUUCUCGUGGUCAACAAGGGAAUGACGAUUCCGCUACCUAGUCAUCUGGGUUGUAUCUUAUACUUCUUUCCGUCAUGUUUUCUUUAGGGCCAUGACCCCUGUAUUCGUGGUUAUUAGUUUGUAAACUUUUAGUUAAACAAUUAUUCUGUUUUUGUUGGCAUCGUGGUGUGCCUAGUUUUGUAGGG